This 379-nucleotide long non-coding RNA is filed under the name Mytilus galloprovincialis (Mediterranean mussel). The record is from RNAcentral. Lineage: Eukaryota; Metazoa; Mollusca; Bivalvia; Mytilida; Mytilidae.
CGAGACCAGAACAUAAUAAAAUAGAUAAAACAAAACUUGCGCUUUAGAUUAAGAAAGGGUCUGAAAGAUUUUGUAUCAUUUUUUCCAGUUCUUCUGGGGUCCUUGAGCCCUUCCCUCGCCAACAAUAUAUAUAGUUUGCUUUAUUUGUAAAAGAGGCUAGUUACGCUUCUUUAUUAUCAUCUUAGAUUAACCUCUCCAAACUUAAAAGUAAAGAUCACGCACCCUUAUUGUUUAGAUUGAUAAAGACUUUUGCAUCCGUCGACAUUAUUUCUUCGAUUUAAAGUAGUAUUGAUCUGACAACCGCUGUGCAUGUAUACUUUAACGACCUUUAAAUGAAUGACAAAUGACAACAUUGUCAUUUUUUGAAUGACAAUUAAAC